This is a long non-coding RNA of Bufo gargarizans (Asiatic toad), 442 nucleotides long. RefSeq lists it as uncharacterized. The record is from RefSeq and is a predicted model, not a curated record. The transcript is spliced from 3 exons. NCBI's taxonomy places the organism in Eukaryota, Metazoa, Chordata, Amphibia, Anura, Bufonidae.
CUAGGAUUGGCAUAGUUCCACAUUUCAUGCUUUAUCUUGGUUGUUUGGUGUUGCCUACACUUUCCAAAGGAAAUUGACAGAUGACUGAAGUUUAAUGACCUGAAAGAAAUAAUACAAGAUGGGUGCUUCAUGUGGAAAGGUUUACUUAUCCAAGGUUAAAAGGAAGAAGACGUUGCUAGGAUUGACUUAGUUCCACAUUUCAUGCUUUAUCUUGGUUGUUUGGUGUUGCCUACACUUUCCAAAGGAAAUUGACAGAUGACUGAAGUUUAAUGACCUGAAAGAAAUAAUACAAGAUGGGUGCUUCAUGUGGAAAGGUUUACUUAUCCAAGGUUAAAAGGAAGAAGACGUUGCUAGGAUUGGCUUAGUUCCAAAAUUCAUGCUUUAUCUUGGUUGUUUGGUGUUGCCUACACUUUCCAAAGGAAAUUGACAGAUGAGAUGACUG